This 253-nucleotide ribosomal RNA is filed under the name uncultured bacterium. RNAcentral describes it as "partial 16S ribosomal RNA". It matches the Rfam family "Bacterial small subunit ribosomal RNA", at positions 524 to 776 of the family's 1533-position model. The record is from RNAcentral.
GACGUAGGUGGCGAACGUUAUCCGGAUUCAUUGGGCGUAAAGGGUGCGUAGGUGGCGGGGUUAGUCAGGUGUGAAAUCUCGGGGCUCAACCCCGAAACUGCACUUGAUACUGCCUUGCUAGAGUACUGGAGAGGAGAUUGGAAUUUACGGUGUAGCAGUGAAAUGCGUAGAUAUCGUAAGGAAGACCAGUGGCGAAGGCGAAUCUCUGGACAGUUACUGACACUGAGGCACGAGGGCCAGGGGAGCAAACGGG